RNAcentral lists this ribosomal RNA (164 nucleotides) under uncultured bacterium. Its description in RNAcentral is "partial 16S rRNA". It matches the Rfam family "Bacterial small subunit ribosomal RNA", at positions 355 to 511 of the family's 1533-position model. The record is from RNAcentral.
UAGGGAAUCUUCCACAAUGGACGCAAGUCUGAUGGAGCAACACCGCGUGAGUGAAGAAGGUCUUCGGAUCGUAAAACUCUGUUGUUAGAGAAGAACACGAGUGAGAGUAACUGUUCAUUCGAUGACGGUAUCUAACCAGCAAGUCGCGGCUAACUACGUGCCAG